Columba livia (rock pigeon) is the source of this 511-nucleotide long non-coding RNA. RefSeq lists it as uncharacterized. Lineage: Eukaryota; Metazoa; Chordata; Aves; Columbiformes; Columbidae. The transcript is spliced from 3 exons. The record is from RefSeq and is a predicted model, not a curated record.
GCGUCUCGGCGGUCCGCGGCGUGGCAGUCAAAAGCAAGGGCGGCCGGGUGGGCGAGCGGCCCAGGUAAGGGAGGGCGAGCUGGGACCGUCUGCGGGCAGGCUGUGUUUUCGGGCGGCGUCCGAGCGCGUGCCUCUGGUUUUGCGGGUGCCGCAGACGAGUCGGCAGGGGCGAAGCCGCACGCCGGCCGGCAGCCGAGAAGGUGAGGCGGCGGUGGGCGUUGCGGAGCCCGGUAUUGCCCGGUGUCUCGCUUCAUCUUUUCCUUCUCGCUUUGCAGGCGCUUUGUGGGCCCUCUGGACCGGGAGGAGCAUUUGCGGCGUCACCAGCGCUGAGGGUUUGUGACCGCGCCAGCGGCAGGACACGCCGACCGGACCGCCCUGGAGCUCAGCAGGAGGCGCUGAAGAGGAACCCGGCGACGCGGGAAGACGGCCGUUGGCGCACGUGGCGUUUUCCUCUGCCGAAGAUGGGUUUGGUCCCUCGGCCCUCUGAAAGCUAAGUGGAGGCGCGAGGGCU